AAUCUUUGGGAUCAUCAGCAUGGAAUCUUCAUUAUCCCCUCUCUCCUGGGCACCUGCUUCCCGCGCACCUGGAUGAGGACCAGAGGAAUUCGCGAAUUUCCGAAUCACCGCAGGAAAAACCAGCUGGCCUGAAUCAAAGCAAUUCUGGGUAAAAGACUUCCCAGAUGAUCUCUCAACGCCUUGGCAACGCUUGGCGACUGGGAGCUAGAACCAUGAGUUGUUAAUGUGUGCACGGAAGCCACAAGUGUGCAGGACGCAAGCUGGGUUAUUGGAAGCGGACGACACCAAGGAGGCGUUGCCGCGGAUGUGGUGGACGAUGCCAAGUCGUCUUUUAAAAAAGGAAGUGAAGAAUGAUUAAGAGGGUCACGCCCUCUACCACUCCAACCUCUCUAAUCAGUCUCUUUCUGCUCCGUCUGCUGUACAUGCACCUGCUCAGGUGAGACCUCAAGGAAAAAUAAUCCUGUGGGUCCACCUAAUCUGACAACCACAGUUGCUAACAGUAUGAGUUCUGCAGUUAUACAGAACUAAGUCCAUUAGCUGUGUGACCCAUGGCCAAAUAUUUUCCUUCUCUGUGCCUGCAUUUCUUCAUCUGCAAACUGGAAUAAUGAUAGCAACUACUUCAGAGGACUAUAUAAAUGCAUAAAGAAAAUGUAGUAU
RNAcentral lists this long non-coding RNA (657 nucleotides) under Homo sapiens (human). RNAcentral's name for it is "HSALNT0347909". Lineage: Eukaryota; Metazoa; Chordata; Mammalia; Primates; Hominidae. The record is from RNAcentral.